CUCCAAUUUGGAGAAAAACCUACGAGACCAACACGCGAAAACACAAUCUACUAAGAAAAAAGAUUACAAGGUGAUUACUGACAACACGGACUCAACCUCUCUUAACCUUAUAUGAAUCUCGCGCAAGCUUCCGGGUUGUCCACGCCCUCACGUUCAAAUCCACGAACGCCUCGGACACGUCCGAAUCCACGAAUGCCACUCGAAUCCACGAGCUCACGAUCCGAAUCCUCGAACCGCCUUCGAUCACGCCGAAUCCACGACGCCGCAUAUGAAGAACAUCAUGUUCAUGGUGAUUCUU
Molecule: long non-coding RNA, 298 nt
Filed under: Ananas comosus (pineapple)
Lineage: Eukaryota; Viridiplantae; Streptophyta; Magnoliopsida; Poales; Bromeliaceae
Description: long non-coding RNA (ACOM_LNC018002)
Source: RNAcentral